GCAGAUUCUGGGGUGCAGUGGGUCAGAGACUCUGCAUCUGACAAGCUCUCAGGAGAGGACCCAGGAGCUGGAGUGUCUUCACAUGAAGACUCAACCAGGAGCCAUGUGGGUUCUUCUGUGAGGGGAAGGGAGGUUCUUGUGAAACCCUCAGCCCCUCUGAGAUAGAAGAACCACAGAUUAUGGGUUCUCCUGUUCUAGCCUGUACAAAAAGUUUCCCUGGUUCCCCAGGGCAUCAUGAACUGGUGAGAUGUCUUCAGAAGAAACAGGCAGAUGUUCCACAAACCAGAGACUCUGGGAACAAAAAAUAAUCCACUGAUUUUUUUGAGAUGCAGGCACCAGAGACGCUGUCACAAAGAGGAUGAUGAACAUGUUCCUUACACUUGGAGCCUCUUCAUGCUCUCUUGCAAUCUCUUUAUUUUACCACUCUCCACUUCCUAACCCUGUCUUAAGGAAACUCUUAUCUGUUUUCUGUCAUGAUAAAUUCAUUUUCAUUUUCUAGAAUUUUCAAAAUUUGAAUCAUACAAUAUGUAAUUUUAGGCGGAGUUUGGCAACUUGACUCAACAUAAUUAUUUUGACAUAGUUCUUUCUUUU
Pteronotus mesoamericanus is the source of this 591-nucleotide long non-coding RNA. RefSeq lists it as uncharacterized. NCBI's taxonomy places the organism in Eukaryota, Metazoa, Chordata, Mammalia, Chiroptera, Mormoopidae. The transcript has 3 exons. The record is from RefSeq and is a predicted model, not a curated record.